GGAGGUAGUAACUAGUAGUGUCUAUUCAGCAGUCUGAUAGUCUGGAGGUAGUAACUAGUAGUGUCUAUUCAGCAGUCUGAUAGUCUGGGAGGUAGUAACUAGUAGUGUCUAUUCAGCAAUCUGAUAGUCUGGAGGUAGUAACUAGUAGUGUCUAUUCAGCAGUCUGAUAGUCUGGAGGUAGUAACUAGUAGUGUCUAUUCAGCAGUCUGACGGUCUGGAGGUAGUAACUAGUAGUGUCUAUUCAGCAGUCUGAUGGUCUGGAGGUAGUAACUAGUAGAGUCUAUUCAGCAGUCUGAUGGUCUGGAGGUAGUAACUAGUA
Molecule: long non-coding RNA, 319 nt
Filed under: Salmo salar (Atlantic salmon)
Lineage: Eukaryota; Metazoa; Chordata; Actinopteri; Salmoniformes; Salmonidae
Description: lncRNA (ENSSSAG00000121607.1)
Source: RNAcentral